UCACAAUGAUUCAAACUAUAAUAAAUGAAACCGUGAUUCAUGCAUACGAAACCAUAAAAUAAACACAUUAGGCACCAUACUGCAUUCAAAACUAUAAAAUAAAUCAAACAACACCUGACCAAAAAAUACAUUAGAUUCGGGCUCCAUUAGCAACUUUAAUUAAUUAUACAUAUCUAUUAAUUCAUAACAUACAAUUUUAUCAUUUAUUAAACUUUAAUGCUAU
This 223-nucleotide long non-coding RNA is filed under the name Carica papaya (papaya). RNAcentral's name for it is "long non-coding RNA (CPAP_LNC008414)". The record is from RNAcentral. Lineage: Eukaryota; Viridiplantae; Streptophyta; Magnoliopsida; Brassicales; Caricaceae.